Mesocricetus auratus (golden hamster) is the source of this 1879-nucleotide long non-coding RNA. RefSeq lists it as uncharacterized. The record is from RefSeq and is a predicted model, not a curated record. NCBI's taxonomy places the organism in Eukaryota, Metazoa, Chordata, Mammalia, Rodentia, Cricetidae. The transcript has 2 exons.
GAGGGGGGGAGAUAGCAGAAGUUGCUCCAAAAAAUUUUACAUAAAAGGGUGAGUAUGGUUUCUAGACAUCUCUGUUCUAGAAUCCUCCCAAUCUGGUAAAAAAAAACAAAGAGUCCACAAAAUCCAACAGUUACGGUAAAAGGUGGCACUGGGAACAUCUGGCCACCGCCCAGAUAAGUCCUGAGAAUUAUGAGAAGUCGGUGUGGCCAGGCAUGCAGGACACCGCCAGAAAGGGGGUUGAGUCCAAAUGAUUAGGACUAGGAGGAUUUAUUAAGUGCCGACAGUAUACACGCCUCAGGUGUGAAAGCCCUCACCUGACAGUGGGCCGCCAUAUCUGGUCAUUGUGCCAGAGAAGAGACUCAACUGGCUGGGUGGGCCGGGGGUUAACAGCCUCAGUUUCCCUGUAGUUUCAAAAUCCACCAAGGUUUGUGAAGCGGGGAUAGGGUGGGCUGCGAUUUGGUGGUGGAGCUGCGUUUUCGCAGGUUCAGUAUUCUUAGGCGUUGGAGUCAGGUCAUCCAGGUUGAUUGUAACCCUUGACUGGGACUUCUGGUCCUUCCAUGAAGGGACAGCGAGGGGCGUGGAAUGGCUGCUGACGUCAGAACCUAGUUCAUAACAUCAACUGUGGGCCUGAGCCAGCUCUGCUCAAAGCCAGUGACAGAGUAGGCUUUUCGCCUUCCUUUGAACUUAAGUGAACUAACCGAGCCACACGGGCUCCUUGCAUUAUUAGCUCAACCAUACAAUGCAGCAGAUAAGACGGAAGCACACAAGCAUGCUGGGAGUAAACGAUAACCAGAACUUCCAUCAAAAUGAACGACUUCUCGUGUCGCCGGCUUUACGUGCGGGUCUAAAGCAGGUCCUUUCAGCUUAUUACUUGGUUCAGUUUAUAAUACGAUUUGUCUUUUAUAGAACUCCCACGCAACAAUGUCCCAGUAAACAGCAAGACUGUUACGCUUAUUAGAGAUAUUGAGGUGGGAUACUUGCAAAUGUCUCUCUUGCCGGGACAAGUUCCUUUCCCUCUUCAUUGUGGAAGACACAUGCAGGACACUCCGGGGAAGAUUUACAGUGGAGGAGAACCCAUACAUGCCAGGAGGUAGUCUCGGGCAGCUUCAGCUAUGCCACGACCCACCGCUGGCGGCGUUGGCGGAGUUCAGCGGCGCAGAAGGAAGGUUGGGGACUCGCGAGCGCCCUGGUGCCUUUUCUUCCCCCACAAAAGCCAUCCAGGCAUCAUCCUAUCGCCUACACGGACCGUGGUCUAAGGCCAGGGGUGCUCCGCGGCGCUGGAGUACUAACCUUGGAAGGCACUGAAUGCCACUGCUGUUUCUCUCUGCGUCUGCCUCACCAGAGGGCUGGGGAGAUGGAGGCCGUCUGUCGCAGACCAGUAAAGAACUCCACUGACACCAGAGGCUGGUCAGUCUCCAAGGAUGGACUGUGCACACAGAGGCAUACAACCUGCUUGCCCAUCACCUGUUCCUGCGGUUGCUUUCAGCCCGAUCUGAACUACUGUCUGGAGAAUCACCUGCCACCGCCCCUCCUCCUGGAACUCAGGCAGACACAGACAGAUGGCCGGCCCUUAAAGGCCAACAUUCAGCAAGCGUGCGCUGGUGUGCCUGUGCCAUUUAUUAAAACACGGGAAAUACUGUUCUAGACUGAAAACAGCCACUUUCCCAAGCCUGCUGUUGUCAGCUCCCCUGGACAUUUCCCUGUCUACUCCUACACCCCAAGUCCACGGAGCAGGGCAAGGAUCUCAGCUGUUAAGCCAUUAAACUCAAGCCCUGAUAGCGAGCUUCCUUGCAUUCCUAUUGGCUGAUGUCCAGCAGGGAGGUACUUAAGGUAAACUGAUAAGAAUGUCACAUCUGAUAAUAAACAUCUUUGUGACAGA